This 498-nucleotide ribosomal RNA is filed under the name uncultured bacterium. RNAcentral's name for it is "partial 16S ribosomal RNA". It matches the Rfam family "Bacterial small subunit ribosomal RNA", at positions 30 to 523 of the family's 1533-position model. The record is from RNAcentral.
AUUGAACGCUGGCGGCAUGCCUUACACAUGCAAGUCGAACGGUAACAGGUCUUCGGAUGCUGACGAGUGGCGAACGGGUGAGUAAUACAUCGGAACGUGCCUAGUAGUGGGGGAUAACUACUCGAAAGAGUGGCUAAUACCGCAUGAGAUCUACGGAUGAAAGCAGGGGAUCGCAAGACCUUGUGCUACUAGAGCGGCCGAUGGCAGAUUGGGUAGUUGGUGGGAUAAAAGCUUACCAAGCCGAAGAUCUGGAGCUGGUCUGAGAGGACGAUCAGCCAAACUGGGACUGAGACACGGCCCAGAAGCCUACGGGAGGCAGCAGUGGGGAAUUUUGGCCAAUGGGCGAAAGCCUGAUCCAGCAAUGCCGCGUGCAGGAUGAAGGCCUUCGGGUUGUAAACUGCUUUUGUACGGAACGAAAAGCCCCGGGUUAAUACCCUGGGGUCAUGACGGUACCGUAAGAAUAAGCACCGGCUAACUACGUGCCAGCCGCCGCAGUAA